Molecule: long non-coding RNA, 254 nt
Organism: Dermochelys coriacea (leatherback sea turtle)
Lineage: Eukaryota; Metazoa; Chordata; Testudines; Dermochelyidae
Exons: 3
Source: RefSeq, a predicted model, not a curated record
AUCCAGCGGGGAUCGAUUUAUCGUGUCUAGUCUAGACGCAAUCAAUCGACCCCUGAGCGCUCUUCCGUCGACGCCUGUACUCCAGCUCCGUGCAAGGUGCAGGCGGAGUCGACGAGGGAGCGGCAGCAGUCGACUCACCGCCAUGAAGACACCGCAGUGAGUAGGUCCAAGUACGGUCGACUUCAGCUGCGUUAUUCGCUUAGCUGAAGUUGCAUAACUUAGAUCGAUUCCCAUCCCCCCAGUGUAGACCAGGC